Panicum virgatum (switchgrass) is the source of this 2803-nucleotide long non-coding RNA. RefSeq lists it as uncharacterized. NCBI's taxonomy places the organism in Eukaryota, Viridiplantae, Streptophyta, Magnoliopsida, Poales, Poaceae. The transcript is spliced from 2 exons. The record is from RefSeq and is a predicted model, not a curated record.
CCAAGCCCCCACACGGCCACUUCGUGUCUCUCUCCCUCGCAUCGCUCGAACCCUACCCGGCGGCGGCGGCGGCAGCAGCAGGAGCCAGGGAGCGGUGGCGGCUGGUCUCCGGGGCACCGGGCACACAGGCUGCAAGCGGCGGUGCCUUGCUGGUGGACAGGCUUGGCGAGGCGCGCACGGCGCGAGGAGGGCACAGGGCAACUGACCAGCGGCCGCCGGCGGGUCGGAGCCGAAGCCAGCCGCGGCUGCCGCGCGGGGAGACGAGAGCGGGCAGUGGCGCAGUGCGGCACUGCGACACCAGGCACAUGCGCACGGCGACCGCGGCACCGCAGCAGGCAGCUCGCGCGCCGCCUCUGCUCAAAAUUGGACAAUUCUAAGGACUUUGAUACGGGCAUGGAGGAAAAUGAAAGAAUGGAGGGCCGCCGCAUAGUGGCCCAUUACUUGCAAGUGAUACAGAACGUGCAUUGGUGAAGAUAUUCUUGUUUGGCACUGGACCAGAUAGUUUGUUGAAUGAAAGGUUUAGACUCCUAAGAAGCAUGAAGCUCCCAAGGAAUUCGGGGAUGGGUCCUGAUAGUUUGUUGUUUGAUAGGUCCAACACUUCUAGGCCUUUCAUUGCUUUGAGAUCAUUGGGGAUUUGUCCAUGGAGGAGAUUUCCUUGAAAGUAAAGGAAUUGCAUUUCAAGGCAUCUUCCAAUUGUUCCUGGAAUUUCACCUGAUAAUUUAUUUGAUGAGAGAUCAAUUUUGACAAGGUUGACCAAACGCCCAAUUUGUAGAGGAAUAGGACCAGUUAAUGCAUUAUUGGAGAGGUCAAACAAUUCGGUUAGGGAGGAAAUGCUGACAAUCUCUUCUGGGAUUUGGCCACUAAGGAGAUUCUGUGAUAUAUCAAAAUAAGUCACCGUGCUAAGGUUUCCAAGAGUUGCUGGAAUUCUACCAUCAAGAUAGUUGGAGGACAAAUUAAACCAAUUCAAUUGUGUGAGAUUUCCUAGAGACGGCGGGAUCUCCCCAUGAAAUGAAUUUUGCUCUAAGCAUAGAUCAUGGAGUUGAGUCAGCUUUCCAAUAUCUGAAGGUAUGGUUCCUGUGAAGAGGUUAUAUCCAAGCGCAAGGGAUUUGAGUUUGGAGUACCUUCCUAUUGCUUUUGGUAUGUGCCCGGUGAUUUGGUUUCCCUGAAGCCACAUGUACUCUAGCUCUAGAGAAAGAUUUGCGAUUGUAUCUGGCAAAGUGCCCGAAAGGUUGUUUGUUUCAAGACCAAUGGUUUUCAACUUUUUGCAAUUAGCUAAGGAAGUUAGGAAAUCCCAAUCUUUUGGAUCCGUAGCUUGGAGCUCAUUGUCGCUUACAUCAAACACCACCAAAACUCCGUUUAUACCAAUGUUUGGGGGGAUUCUGCCUUGGAACCUGUUGCCAUUGAGGUUGAGUGUUUGAAGCCGAGAUAUAUUUGACAAAGAAAAUGGUAUUGGGCCUUCAAAUCGGUUGCCGAGUGCAUUAAAUAUUCUUAGAUUGGGAAGCAUGAAACCCAUAUCUGGAGGUAGAGAACCUGAGAGGUUGUUGUUACCCACAUCAAAGACCUCAAGUGAUGACAUGUUGAACAAUGACGGAGGAAUGGUACCCUCUAGGACAUUUCCUGCUACCCCAAGAUGUUGAAGGUGAGCUAGCUCGGACAAGGGUGGUGGGACAUGGCCACUUAUAAUGUUCUGUCCAAUGUUCAAAUAUAUGAGCCUAGUCAAAUUCCCCAACCACUCCGGGACCUCCCCAUGCACGGAGUUACUAGCGAUGCCGAACACGGUGAGCGCGGUGAGGUUGGCGAACGAAGAAGGGAUGAGACCCGAGAUGUUGUUCUUCUCCAUGCUGAGAACAGCGAGCCUCGACAGGUGGCCCAUGGCGGGAGGAACGGCGCCGGACAGGAAGUUGCCACUCAGGUUGAGGUGGCAGAGCACGGAGCAGCCAGCAAGGCUAGGAGGGAUCUCGCCUUCAAGCUUGUUGUGCGAGAGAUCAAGCAAGUUGAGCUGGGUGAGGUUACCUAGGUGUGGCGACAAGGUGCCGACGAGGCCUAGUCCCGGUAGGUGCAGGGCAGCCACGCGUGGGGGGAAACUGCUGGUGCACGUCACCCCGGUCCAUCUGCAGAAACCGUGGGUGCCGUUGUUGAGGGUGCUGUUGUCGAGGGCAUCCCAGGAAGACAGGGCACCCGUGGGGUCCUCGCUGAUGAAGGAUUUGAGCGAGAGAAGCGUGGUGAGGUCAUUGUUGUCUGGGCUGGAGCUGCUAGCGUUGGUGGUGAAGAACAGGAGGAGGUAGGAGAUGAAGCUGAGAAGAGCAGGCAGCAGGCGGAGGCGCUGCUGUCGUCUACUCUUCAUGGCUGCACAGUAUGUAGGAUCGGAGCAAGAGCAAGCAGCUAGCUGGUGGUAGGUCUCUGCUUGAUGGCCACAUGGUGCGAGGGAUCAAGGAUUUAUAUAUAUAUAUGCCAAUUACUCAAUUAGUGAGGUGUCUGUCGUCUGAAUAGAGAGGGAGCCGUCAAGUCAAGGCCGACGUCGUCGUGCCUCUCAUCGUGGAGACACAAAGAUAUGCCUUUCGGUCCAUUCUUCAUAGUGGAAGCCUCUUUAUGUUAAUGCUUUACCUUUGGGUUGCUUUCCCGGCAACACGUAUGGAUCAUAUGAUUCCUAAUAUACUUGACCGGCCACAGACACCAAUAGAAACGUGUGGGGUGUCGAGCCAGCUGUCUCUAGUCGUUUUGUUCACUUCAGAUUUUCACUCGGUCAUUGAGUGAAGAGGUCGGAACAUUUUUCCUUUAUCUAAAAAGAGACAUUCCCUCGGUU